This 449-nucleotide ribosomal RNA is filed under the name uncultured bacterium. Its description in RNAcentral is "partial 16S ribosomal RNA". It matches the Rfam family "Bacterial small subunit ribosomal RNA", at positions 29 to 523 of the family's 1533-position model. The record is from RNAcentral.
AAUGAACGCUGGCGGCAGGCCUAACACAUGCAAGUCGAACGGAUCCUUCGGGAUUAGUGGCGGACGGGUGAGUAACGCGUGGGAACAUACCCUUUGGUACGGAAUAGCCACGGGAAACUGGGAGUAAUACCAUAUGUGGUCGAGAGACGAAAGAUUUAUCGCCAAAGGAUUGGCCCGCGUUGGAUUAGGUAGUUGGUGGGGUAAUGGCCCACCAAGCCGACGAUCCAUAGCUGGUUUGAGAGGAUGAUCAGCCACACUGGGACUGAGACACGGCCCAGACUCCUACGGGAGGCAGCAGUGGGGAAUUUUAGACAAUGGGGGAAACCCUGAUCUAGCCAUGCCGCGUGAUCGAUGAAGGCCUUAGGGUUGUAAAGAUCUUUCAGGUGGGAAGAUAAUGACUGUACCACCAGAAGAAGCCCCGGCUAACUCCGUGCCAGCCGCCGCUGUAA